Molecule: long non-coding RNA, 775 nt
Organism: Neopsephotus bourkii (Bourke's parrot)
Lineage: Eukaryota; Metazoa; Chordata; Aves; Psittaciformes; Psittacidae
Exons: 3
Source: RefSeq, a predicted model, not a curated record
UUUUUAGGAGUGUGGUAGCAGUGGUGUCUAAGAUUUUGGGGUGAGGAGCUAAAGACAUUCAGAUGCUGACGGAGGCUUGGCACCAUUGACCAAAAGGGCUUAUGAAAGCAGAGCUCUUCUUCCUAGUAAGUGGUGCUGAAUCUCGCACAGAGGAGUUUGCUUGGUACGGAGGGGAGCGGGCAGUGCCCGUGAUCUCCCAGCGCCGCGCUCAGCCGCUCCCGGUGAAAGCCGCUCCGAUGCUUUCAUAGGGAAAGCAACAGCACCUACGUGUGGCCAGCCCGAGUGAGGCGUUUGUAACCGUGUGGACCUGGUCCUACAAACCUGAGCUGAAAGGGAUCUCUAGGAAAAACCUGAAUCACAAAAUCGGGAUAGCGUGGGUCAGUUUUGGUCCCUGCUAUACAAAAAAAGAUGUGGACGCGAUGGAGAGGGCCCACAGAAUGACCACAAAGAUGAUCCAAGGACUGAGAAGCCACAUGAGGAAAGGCUGAGAUGGGUUUAUUCAGCCUUGAGAAAAGAAGGCUUAGGGAAGACCUUAUCGCAGUGUUCCGGUAUUUAAACAGUGGCUACAAAGAAGGAGGAGACUCCCUUUUUGCAAGGAGGCACAUGGAAAAGACAAGGCAGGACAAGGUGUUAUACAGGAGGCACCUGUGCUUCUGGGGUGUUUUGGAGGGAUUUUCACAAGACUUUUGGUUUCCCAGGAAGCAUGAAAUCAAAUCCCAGCUCUGAGUGUCAUUGCUGAGGAGGGGAAUUGUGUAAUCCAAACCCUCAGCCUGUC